GACGAACGCUGGCGGCGUGCUUAACACAUGCAAGUCGAACGGAAAGGCCCUGCUUUUGUGGGGUGCUCGAGUGGCGAACGGGUGAGUAACACGUGAGUAACCUGCCCUUGACUUUGGGAUAACUUCAGGAAACUGGGGCUAAUACCGGAUAGGAUCUACUGCUGCAUGGUGGGGGUUGGAAAGUUUCGGCGGUUGGGGAUGGACUCGCGGCUUAUCAGCUUGUUGGUGGGGUAGUGGCUUACCAAGGCUUUGACGGGUAGCCGGCCUGAGAGGGUGACCGGACACAAUGGGACUGAGAGACGGCCCAGACUCCUACGGGAGGCAGCAGUGGGGAAUAUUGCACAAUGGGCGGAAGCCUGAUGCAGCAACGCCGCGGGCGGGAUGACGGCCUUCGGGUUGUAAACCGCUUUCGCCUGUGACGAAGCGUGAGUGACGGUAAUGGGUAAAGAAGCACCGGCUAACUACGUG
Molecule: ribosomal RNA, 468 nt
Filed under: uncultured bacterium
Lineage: Bacteria
Description: partial 16S ribosomal RNA
Rfam family: Bacterial small subunit ribosomal RNA
Source: RNAcentral